Molecule: ribosomal RNA, 429 nt
Filed under: Chloroflexota bacterium
Lineage: Bacteria; Bacillati; Chloroflexota
Description: Chloroflexi bacterium partial 16S ribosomal RNA
Rfam family: Bacterial small subunit ribosomal RNA
Source: RNAcentral
UGGGGAAUAUUGCACAAUGGGCGCAAGCCUGAUGCAGCCAUGCCGCGUGUAUGAAGAAGGCCUUCGGGUUGUAAAGUACUUUCAGUCGGGAGGAAGGUGGUAAGGUUAAUAACCUUAUCAAUUGACGUUACCGACAGAAGAAGCACCGGCUAACUCCGUGCCAGCAGCCGCGGUAAUACGGAGGGUGCAAGCGUUAAUCGGAAUUACUGGGCGUAAAGCGCACGCAGGCGGUUGAUUGAGUCAGAUGUGAAAUCCCCGGGCUUAACCCGGGAAUUGCAUCUGAUACUGGUCAGCUAGAGGCUUGUAGAGGGGGGUAGAAGUCCAGGUGUAGCGGUGAAAGGCGUAGAGAUGUGGAGGAAUACCGGUGGCGAAGGCGGCCACCUGGACAAAGACUGACGCUCAGGUGCGAAAGCGUGGGGAGCAAACAGG